RNAcentral lists this microRNA precursor (82 nucleotides) under Podarcis lilfordi (Lilford's wall lizard). The record is from RNAcentral. Lineage: Eukaryota; Metazoa; Chordata; Lepidosauria; Squamata; Lacertidae.
UCUGUGUGUGUGUGUGUGUGUGUGUGUAUACGCAAGUGUGCGUGCGCGCGCGCACACACACGCACACACACACACACACAAG